CGCUCUGCGUCUGCGCAGCCUCGCAGUCCCGCGUUGCCCAGUGAUGGGCUUUGGGUUCGGGUUCCUUCGGCUUGGAUCGGGUAUUUCCGUUCUUGGAGCUAAUGAUUCGGUGGUCCCCGGCUACUUCCGGGGAUGCUCGCCUGGCCGGGUAGGAAGCGGCGUUUGGUCGCCAUCUUUGAAUGGGGCAGAUGGGGUCCUCUUCGCUCCGAAGGCGAGGGUCGGACGAGGCCUCGUUCCCGGAGGUCACAAAGGCUGCGAACCAGGCCAGGGGCGUCGGCUGGAGGGCGCGGGGUCCCAUCUCAAAACCAGAGAUCCCUGUUCUAGGAGGUUCUGAUCGAGGUAAACUGAGAAAUAAAACGUAUUGUGACAAGCACCGCGGCGGCCUGCAACAGGCCUCGAGCACACGUGGGACUGGGACGCAAGCUCCUGCACUGCAGCCCCUGUGUUUCCGCCGCCACCAGGGCCGGGUAUGGACUGCGCCAGCCUCCAUGGAUCUCAGCCCUGCGUGCCUAGGAGGGGCAUGAGGGAAGGGCGCCUGAGGCCCGACUAACCCUUUUCUGGGUUAGUCGGCCUGGCGCCCGCUCUUCUCCAUCGCCAACCCCGGACCUGCCCACAUCCCUGUCCUCACCUCGGAGACUCGCAUCCGCCUUGUGGGCUACCGUCCCCUUGGCCCCUGAGCCCUUGGAGACCGUACCCUGUGCCUGCCCAGAGCUGAAUCCCGAGGACAUCUGGGGCAAGGAUGAAGCCUUAGCAGCCUCAACAAUUUGGGACCAAGGUGACUUCAGGUGUCCUAGCUUCCUCAGGCUUCACAUAUGGCUGGUUCUGGGACUCAGGACCUCUCCAGACUCAGCGUCACUGUCACCACUCCCCUUGGCAUUCUCAGCCACCCUGCUCUGUGCAGAUUUUUUCCUUUUGUUAACUUACUUUCUUUCAUGAGAGAAAGACAUGCAGGAAGACCCUAGUGGGGUCUUUACACUGACCUACCCCAGCCUCAGUCAGUUCUGGAUCAUGAACUUGUGUGUGCCAAGCAUACUCAGGGAGGUCUCCAGUCAAGAACCCAGAACCUUCCCAUGUGGGCCAGCCUUGCAGAGUAAGGCAUUUUACUGCUGCCAUACCAUCCUGUUAUGUGCUGGCCAUGCUAUUAGUUUCAUGCUGGCCAUCUCUAUGUCACUGGUAAUGACCAUCCUGCUGUUUCCA
Tupaia belangeri chinensis (Chinese tree shrew) is the source of this 1197-nucleotide long non-coding RNA. RefSeq lists it as uncharacterized. The transcript has 2 exons. NCBI's taxonomy places the organism in Eukaryota, Metazoa, Chordata, Mammalia, Scandentia, Tupaiidae. The record is from RefSeq and is a predicted model, not a curated record.